This 200-nucleotide long non-coding RNA is filed under the name Lathyrus oleraceus (garden pea). Its description in RNAcentral is "Pisum sativum (pea) long non-coding RNA (PSAT_LNC007431)". Lineage: Eukaryota; Viridiplantae; Streptophyta; Magnoliopsida; Fabales; Fabaceae. The record is from RNAcentral.
CCUUUUCCAAUAUAUAUCACCAAUUUCAAACUUGUAAAGAUCUAUGGAGUCUUGCCAUUUGCAGACUACCAUCCCGUCAAAUAAAUUUGAGCCUAUUAUCCAAUUGUUUGCACUCUUAUUUGUUUCUAUUCAACAAAUGUUUUACAUGCUUUAAUUGAGAAAAUGUCAUUGUUUUGAAUAAACGAAUUUUUCAUAACUUG